GCUCACUUCAGCUGCACAUAAACUAAAAUUGGAAUACUACAGAGAUUAGCAUGGCCCCUAUGCAAGGAUAACAAGCCAAAUUUGUGAAGCAUUUGUACUUUUG
This is a small nuclear RNA of Grammomys surdaster, 103 nucleotides long. The record is from RefSeq and is a predicted model, not a curated record. Lineage: Eukaryota; Metazoa; Chordata; Mammalia; Rodentia; Muridae.